CAAGGAACUAAGAGUUUAUGGGGAAUACCUUGGCAUUCAGAAGCGAUGAAGGACGUGGUUACCGACGAAACGCUUCGGGGAGCUGGAAACGAGCUAUGAUCCGGAGGUAUCCGAAUGAGGCAACUUGAAAACUACUUAUUGAAUAUAUAAAUAAGAAAGAGUAAACCUAGGGAACUGAAACAUCUUAGUACCUAGAGGAAAAGAAAGUAAAAACGAUUCCCUUAGUAGCGGCGAGCGAAAUGGGAAGAGCCUAAACUUAUAAAUAAGGGUAGUGGGACGAUCAAAAAUGAUUAAAUGUGACAAUUAGAUGAAUAAGUUGGAAUACUUAACCAUAGAAAGUGAUAGUCUUGUAAUCGAAAAUUGAAACAAUCAAGAUUAAAUCCCAAGUAGCAUGGAGCACGUGAAAUUCCGUGUGAAUCUGCGAGGACCACCUCGUAAGGCUAAAUAUUACUGAAUGACCGAUAGUGAAAAAGUACCGUGAGGGAAAGGUGAAAAGAACCCCGGGAGGGGAGUGAAAAGAACAUGAAACCAUAAACUUACAAUCAGUAGGAGGACAACUGAAAUGUCUGACUGCGUGCCUGUUGAAGAAUGAGCCGGCGACUUAUAGUUAGUGGCAGGUUAAAACAUUUCAAUGUUGGAGCCAUAGUGAAAGCGAGCCUGAAUAGGGCGUUAGUCUCUAAUUAUAGACCCGAACCCGGAUGAUCUAACCAUGGUCAGGUUGAAGCUUAGGUAAUACUAAGUGGAGGACCGAACCGACUGAUGUUGAAAAAUCAGCGGAUGAAUUGUGGUUAGGGGUGAAAUGCCAAUCGAAUUCGGAGCUAGCUGGUUCUCCCCGAAAUGCGUUUUGGCGCAGCGAUAAAUGUUAUAAUUUAGGGGUAAAGCACUGUUACGUAUGAGGGCUGGUAAUUCGGUACCAAAUCGUUGCAAACUAAGAAUACUAAAUGUACAAUUUAUCAGUGAGACUGUGGGGGAUAAGCUUCAUUGUCAAGAGGGAAACAGCCCAGAGCACCAGUUAAGGCCCUUAAAUAAUUACUAAGUGAUAAAGGAAGUGGGAGUGCAGAAACAAUCAGGAGGUUUGCUUAGAAGCAGCAAUCCUUUAAAGAGUGCGUAAUAGCUCACUGAUCGAGUAAACCUGCGCCGAAAAUGUACGGGACUAAGUAAUUUGCCGAAACUGUGCGAUAUAUUUGAAUAUAUCGGUAGGGGAGCGUUCUGUUGUAGGUUGAAGUAUUAGCGUAAGCGGAUAUGGACGAAGCAGAAGUGAGAAUGUCGGCUUGAGUAGCGAAAAUAUAGGUGAGAAUCCUAUACCCCGAAAACCCAAGGUUUCCUCCGGAAGGCUCGUCCGCGGAGGGUAAGUCAGGACCUAAGGCGAGACUGAAAAGUGUAGUCGAUGGAUAACGGGUUAAUAUUCCUGUACCAUUAUUUAUUGAUAUCGAAGGACGGAGAAGGCUAUUUUGGCCGGAGAUUGGUAUUCCGGUUUAAAUGUUUAGGCGUGUACGGCGAAAACGUACUAUUGAGCUAAGGCAUGAAUACGAGACGCUACGGCGUUGGAGCAAAAGAUGUCAGGCUUCCAAGAAAAGCUCGCACUGUCAUAAAUAAAUAAUGCCUGUACCAUAACCGACACAGGUGGGUAGGUAGAGUAUACUAAGGGGCGCGAGAUAACUCUCUCUAAGGAACUCGGCAAAAUAACUCCGUAACUUCGGGAGAAGGAGUGCCUUAUUUUUAAGGUUGCAAUAACAAGAUCCAAGCAACUGUUUAUCAAAAACACAGGUCUCCGCUAAGUCGUAAGACGAUGUAUGGGGGCUGACGCCUGCCCAGUGCCAGAAGGUUAAAGAAGCUGGUUAGCAAUAGCGAAGCUAGUAACUGAAGCCCUGGUGAACGGCGGCCGUAACUAUAACGGUCCUAAGGUAGCGAAAUUCCUUGUCGGGUAAGUUCCGACCCGCACGAAAGGCGUAAUGAUUUGGAUACUGUCUCAGAGAGGGGCUCGGUGAAAUAGACUUGUCUGUGAAGAUGCGGACUACCUGCACCUGGACAGAAAGACCCUAUGAAGCUUUACUGUAACUUGAAAUUGAAAUUGGACUUUAUUUGCGCAGUAUAGGUGGGAGGCAUAGAAAGAUUUUUGCGGAAAUACUGGAGCCAUUAGUGAGAUACCACCCCUAUAAUGUUAGAUUUCUAACUUUUACCAUUAUCUGGUAAAAGAACAGUUUCAGGCGGGCAGUUUGACUGGGGCGGUCGCCUCCUAAAUGGUAACGGAGGCGCACAAAGGUUUCCUCUGAACGGGUAGAAAUCGUAUCUAGAGUGUAAAGGCAAAAGGAAGCUUGACUGUGAGACUUACAAGUCAAGCAGGGACGAAAGUCGGUCUUAGUGAUCUGACGGUGCUGAGUGGAAAGGCCGUCACUCAACGGAUAAAAGUUACUCUAGGGAUAACAGGCUGAUCUCCCCCAAGAGUUCACAUCGACGGGGAGGUUUGGCACCUCGAUGUCGGCUCAUCGCAUCCUGGGGCGGUAGUACGUCCCAAGGGUUGGGCUGUUCGCCCAUAAAAGCGGUACGCGAGCUGGGUUCAGAACGUCGUGAGACAGUUCGGUCCAUAUCCGGUGUAGGCGUUAGAAUAUUGAGAGGAGCUUUCUUUAGUACGAGAGGACCGAGAAGGACAUACCUCUGGUGUACCAGUUAUUGUGCCAAUGGUAAACGCUGGGUAGCUAUGUAUGGAGUGGAUAACCGCUGAAAGCAUCUAAGUGGGAAGCCCACCUCAAGAUGAGUAUUCUCAUCACGUAAGUGAGUAAGGUCACGGUAAGACUAACCGUUAUAUAGGCAUUAAGUAUAAAUAUAGUAAUAUAUGAGCUGAGAUGUCCUAACAGAUCGA
RNAcentral lists this ribosomal RNA (2860 nucleotides) under Thalassionema nitzschioides. RNAcentral's name for it is "partial Bacterial large subunit ribosomal RNA". It matches the Rfam family "Bacterial large subunit ribosomal RNA". Lineage: Eukaryota; Bacillariophyta; Fragilariophyceae; Thalassionematales; Thalassionemataceae. The record is from RNAcentral.